RNAcentral lists this ribosomal RNA (253 nucleotides) under uncultured bacterium. RNAcentral describes it as "partial 16S ribosomal RNA". It matches the Rfam family "Bacterial small subunit ribosomal RNA", at positions 524 to 776 of the family's 1533-position model. The record is from RNAcentral.
UGCGAAGGGGGCUAGCGUUGCUCGGAAUCACUGGGCGUAAAGCGCACGUAGGCGGAUCUUUAAGUCAGAGGUGAAAUCCCAAGGCUCAACCUUGGAACUGCCUUUGAUACUGGGGAUCUCGAGUCCGGAAGAGGUGAGUGGAACUGCGAGUGUAGAGGUGAAAUUCGUAGAUAUUCGCAAGAACACCAGUGGCGAAGGCGGCUCACUGGUCCGGUACUGACGCUGAGGUGCGAAAGCGUGGGGAGCAAACAGG